Molecule: ribosomal RNA, 809 nt
Filed under: uncultured bacterium
Lineage: Bacteria
Description: bacterial SSU rRNA
Rfam family: Bacterial small subunit ribosomal RNA
Source: RNAcentral
CAGACGGCAGUGCAAGUCUGAUGUGAAAGCCGGGGCUCAACCCCGGAACUGCAUUGGAAACUGUACAGCUUGAGUGUCGGAGAGGUAAGGGAAUUCCUAGUGUAGCGGUGAAAUGCGUAGAUAUUAGGAGGAACACCGGUGGCGAAGGCGCUUACUGGACGAUGACUGACGUUGAGGCUCGAAAGCGUGGGGAGCAAACAGGAUUAGAUCCCUGGUAGUCCACGCUGUAAACGAUGAAUACUAGGUGUGGGUGUGCACUGCACAUCCGUCCGCAGCUAACGCAGUAAGUAUUCCACCUGGGGAGUACGUUCGCAAGAAUGAAACUCAAAGAAUUGACGGGGACCCGCACAAGCGGUGGAGCAUGUGGUUUAAUUCGAAGCAACGCGAAGACCUUACCAGGCCUUGACAUCCCAAGGAAAGCUUCUUAACCGGAGCCCCUCUUCGGAGUCUGGAGACAGGUGGUGCAUGGUUGUCGUCAGCUCGUGUCGUGAGAUGUUGGGUCAAGUCCCCAACGAGCGCAACCCUUGUCCGUAGUAGCCAGCAGUAAGAUGGGAACUCUACGGAGACUGCGGGGAUAACCCGGAGGAAGGUGGGGAUGACGUCAAAUCAUCAUGCCCCUUACGGUCUGGCGACACACGUGCUACAAUGGCGUAACAAAGGGAAGCGAGCCCGCGAGGGGGAGCAAACCCAAAAAUAGCGUCCCAGUUCGGACUGUAGUCUGCAACCCGACUACACGAAGCCGGAAUCGCAGUAAUCGCGGAUCAGAAUGCCGCGGUGAAUACGUUCCCGGGUCUUGUACACACCGCCCU